AAUGCACCAUUUUGUAAGUCGCUUUUGGAUAAGAGCGUCUGCUAAAUGACUUAAA
Molecule: non-coding RNA, 55 nt
Organism: Salmo salar (Atlantic salmon)
Lineage: Eukaryota; Metazoa; Chordata; Actinopteri; Salmoniformes; Salmonidae
Source: Rfam